GUGAUGACGAGUUUGAUCCUGGCUCAGGAUCAACGCUGGCGGCGUGCCUAAUGCAUGCAAGUCGCACGAACGUCCUUCGGGGCGUUAGUGGCGAACGGCUGAGGAACACGUGCGUACCUGCCUGUUCG
RNAcentral lists this ribosomal RNA (128 nucleotides) under Chloroflexota bacterium. RNAcentral's name for it is "Chloroflexi bacterium (rhizosphere metagenome) partial 16S ribosomal RNA". It matches the Rfam family "Bacterial small subunit ribosomal RNA", at positions 1 to 136 of the family's 1533-position model. Lineage: Bacteria; Bacillati; Chloroflexota. The record is from RNAcentral.